CGCUGUCCGCGUGACUGGCGCAGGGAGAUGGAUCACCAUCGGGGAGCGCGGACCAACCCGACCGCCGCGCGCCUGGGCAAUUCCU
Rhizobium sp. PDO1-076 is the source of this 85-nucleotide regulatory RNA element. It matches the Rfam family "ZMP/ZTP riboswitch aptamer (pfl RNA motif)". Rfam says of the family: Previously known as pfl RNA. ZMP is also known as AICAR. The record is from Rfam. NCBI's taxonomy places the organism in Bacteria, Pseudomonadati, Pseudomonadota, Alphaproteobacteria, Hyphomicrobiales, Rhizobiaceae.